AUGAUCUUUUUGCCUAGGAGCAACAUAGACCCUUAUCAUCUCUCAUCAAGGCAACUAGAAUCAACCUUAAAUUCAAUAUCCAGGCGGGGCGCGCGACGGCACCGGGCGGACGGGGACUGGCAGGAUUUUUAUGAGUUCCAGGAGCCGGCCCGAAGCCUCCAGGACCAAGAGAACUGUAACGCGAGCCCCGAGGCUGCAGCAGCGCCGGACCGGGGUGGCGACGGCUUCCCAGCGCUGGCCUGCCACUUGGAGGAGAAGCUGAGCCUGUCUUUCCGCCCCUCGGGUCCGGGUGCCGAGCCCCCGAGGGCGGCUGUGCGGCCCAUCACCGAGUGCAGCCACCUGCAAGGGGACGAGAUUUGGAAUGCCCUGACAGAUAAUUACGAAAAUGUAAUGCCUGUAGACUGGAAGUCAUCCCAUACUGGGACCUUGCAUUUGCUUACUCUGAAUCUCUCAGAAAAAGGGAUGAGUGACAGCUUGCUCUUUGAUACCUCAGAUGAUGAGCUGAGAGAACAGUUGGAUAUGCAUUCAAUCAUCGUCUCCUGCGUCAACAAGGAGCCUCUCUUCACUGCAGACCAGGUGAUUGAAGAAAUUGAAGAAAUGAUGCAGGAAUCACCAGACCCAGAAGAUGAUGAAACGCCUACCCAGUCAGAUCGGCUUGCAAUGCCUUCUCAGGAAAUUCAAACUCUUAAGAGGUCUAGCACAAGCAGUUAUGAAAAGAGGGUGAAAAGGCUGUCGGUAUCUGAAUUAAAUGAGCUGCUGGAAGAAAUCGAGACUGCCAUCAAGGAGUACUCCGAAGAGCUGGUGCAGCAGCUGGCCCUGCCAGACGAACUGGAGUUUGAGAAAGAAGUGAAGAACAGCUUUAUUUCUGUUCUCAUCGAAGUGCAAAACAAACAGAAAGCACACAAAGAAACAGCCAAAAAGAAAAAGAAACUCAAGAACGACAGCUCUCAGAACGGGAAGAACGAGAGAAGCCACAUGCCCGGCACAUACUUGACAACAGUCAUUCCUUAUGAGAAAAAAAAAAAGGACCACCGUCUGUUGAAGAUCUUCAGAUAUUAACAAAAAUUCUUCGUGCCAUGAAAGAGGAUAGUGAAAAAGUUCCAAGCUUGUUAACAGACUAUAUACUGAAAGUUAUGUGUCCUACAUAGGGCAGCAUCACUUCAGGAACAGCUUUAUCCUUCAUGGGCAACAAGCUACAAUUCCUAUAGCAUUAUUCUGAAAGCUGGCUACUAUUACCUUCCUGCUAUUGGAAACUCAGGACCCUUGAACUUGGGUUUGUGAUUCAGUAUUACUAGAUCAUGCCUUCUCUAAUUCUUUGUGUCUUGAACUGAGAGAACCAUGGCACUAUUUUGAAUUCUAGAGGUUUUUUUGUUGUUGUUGUUAAAUACUAACAAUUAUGAACUCUUCUGCAACUCUGUAGAGUAAGGGGGAGUGAUGUUCACUGUGCACAUGCAGCUAUAUUUUUCAUUAACGGACAGUACGUCUGAGUUUUUACGGCUUUCUAGAUCUAAACUG
RNA transcript from Cervus elaphus (red deer), 1515 nucleotides. It is a transcript of the gene named fasciculation and elongation protein zeta-2-like, with no coding region annotated. The transcript has 2 exons. The record is from RefSeq and is a predicted model, not a curated record. NCBI's taxonomy places the organism in Eukaryota, Metazoa, Chordata, Mammalia, Artiodactyla, Cervidae.